UUAAGUUCAGCGGGUAUUCCUACCUGAUCCGAGGUCAACCUGGAGAAGUUGGGGGUUUUACGGCCGGUCACCCGUCGCGUGCCCUGAGCGUGGUAUGUUUACUGCACUCGGUACGACGACGAGCCCGCCACUGGGUUUGGGAGCUGCGGCAGCCGCAGGGCUCCAACACAAGCGCUGGCGCUUGAUGGUUGAAAUGACGC
Molecule: unclassified non-coding RNA, 200 nt
Filed under: Lasiosphaeriaceae sp.
Lineage: Eukaryota; Fungi; Ascomycota; Sordariomycetes; Sordariales; Lasiosphaeriaceae
Description: partial internal transcribed spacer 2
Source: RNAcentral